Non-coding RNA from Ditylenchus destructor, 72 nucleotides. NCBI's taxonomy places the organism in Eukaryota, Metazoa, Nematoda, Chromadorea, Rhabditida, Anguinidae. The record is from the annotation of a GenBank genome assembly.
GGGGCUGUAGCUCAGUGGUAGAGCGCUCGCUUUGCAUGCGAGAAGUCCUGGGAUCAAUCCCCAGCAGCUCCA